AAUGCUAAAACUGCUCUGCCACAAGUUGCUUUUUAUAGCUCAACAGAUGACACGCCUCCUGCAGUAUUAUACAGUCAGAGAACAGCAGUCUGCAGGCUUUAGACAGUGUCACACAGAGUUUUGCUUCAACAGACUGAACAACUUCCACUUAAUGUUUUUCGUUCAAAUCCUGCAUCAUGGGAAGCUUUUUCAGCAUAUUCAGAAGCAACGACACUAAAGACAGACAACCGGCGGCACUGAGUUGGGACCGUGGAUUACAAUGUAUAACAAGACC
Long non-coding RNA from Haplochromis burtoni (Burton's mouthbrooder), 274 nucleotides. RefSeq lists it as uncharacterized. The transcript is spliced from 3 exons. The record is from RefSeq and is a predicted model, not a curated record. NCBI's taxonomy places the organism in Eukaryota, Metazoa, Chordata, Actinopteri, Cichliformes, Cichlidae.